This 433-nucleotide ribosomal RNA is filed under the name uncultured bacterium. RNAcentral describes it as "partial 16S ribosomal RNA". It matches the Rfam family "Bacterial small subunit ribosomal RNA", at positions 29 to 507 of the family's 1533-position model. The record is from RNAcentral.
AACGAACGCUGGCGGCAUGCCUAACACAUGCAAGUCGAACGAGACCUUCGGGUCUAGUGGCGCACGGGUGCGUAACGCGUGGGAACCUGCCCUUAGGUUCGGAAUAACUCCCCGAAAGGGGUGCUAAUACCGGAUAAUGUCUUCGGACCAAAGAUUUAUCGCCUUUGGAUGUGCCCGCGUUGGAUUAGCUAGUUGGUAGGGUAAAAGCCUACCAAGGCGACGAUCCAUAGCUUGUCUGAGAGGAUGAUCAGCCACACUGGGACUGAGACGCGGCCCAGACUCCUACGGGAUGCAGCAGUGGGUAAUAUUGGACAGUGGGCGAAAGCCUGAUCCACCAAUGCCGCGUGAGUGAUGAAGGCCUUAGGGUUGUAAAGCUCUUUUACCCGGGAUGAUAAUGACAGUACCGGGAGAAUAAGCCCCGGCUAACUCCGUG